Molecule: transfer RNA, 88 nt
Filed under: Phycisphaeraceae bacterium
Lineage: Bacteria; Pseudomonadati; Planctomycetota; Phycisphaerae; Phycisphaerales; Phycisphaeraceae
Also listed under: 1 other name
Description: tRNA-Ser
Rfam family: tRNA
About the family: Transfer RNA (tRNA) molecules are approximately 80 nucleotides in length.
Source: RNAcentral
GGAGAGGUGGCAGAGCGGUUGAAUGCGCCGGAUUCGAAAUCCGGUAUGGACUUCGUGUUCAUCGGGGGUUCGAAUCCCCCCCUCUCCG